RNAcentral lists this ribosomal RNA (1533 nucleotides) under metagenome. Its description in RNAcentral is "bacterial SSU rRNA". It matches the Rfam family "Bacterial small subunit ribosomal RNA". The record is from RNAcentral.
AGGGUUUGAUCCUGUCUCAGAGCGAACGCUGGCGGCGUGGAUAGGGCAUGCAAGUCGAGCGAUCCUGAUCGCAAGAUCGGGAGAGCGGCAAAAGGGUGCGUAGCACGUGGGGAACGUACCCGGCAGCGCGGGAUACCACCGCGAAAGUGGUGUUAAUACCGCAUGUCCUUCCGGGGUCACAUGGUCCUGGGGGGAAAGGUGGCGAAUCCGAAAGGAUGCUACCGUUGUCGGAGCGCCCCGCGUCCCAUCAGCUAGUUGGUAGGGUAACGGCCUACCAAGGCAUUUGACGGGUAGCUGGCCUGAGAGGGUGGUCAGCCACACUGGGACUGAGACACUGCCCAGACUCCUACGGGAGGCUGCAGUCGAGAAUCUUUGGCAAUGGGCGAAAGCCUGACCAUGCGACGCCGCGUUCGGGAUGAAGGCUUUCGGGUCGUAAACCGCUGUCACGAGGGACGAAGGUGUUUUGGGCGAAUAGCCCGAGAUAUUUGACGGUACCUCGAGAGGAAGCCACGGCUAACUCCGUGCCAGCAGCCGCGGUAAUACGGAGGUGGCAAGCGUUGCUCGGAUUUACUGGGUGUAAAGGGCAAGUAGGCGGUUUGGUAAGCCCCAUCUGAAAGGCUCUGGCUCAACCAGAGCAGUGGGUGGGGGACUGCCAGACUUGAGGACAGGAGAGGCGAAUGGAAUUCCCGGUGUAAGGGUGAAAUCUGUAGAGAUCGGGAGGAACACCAGUGGCGAAGGCGAUUCGCUGGCCUGUUUCUGACGCUGAGAGGCGAAAGCUAGGGGAGCAAACAGGAUUAGAUACCCUGGUAGUCCUAGCCGUAAACGAUGCGCACUAGGUGUUGGCUCGCUUUGGCGGGUCAGUGCCGCAGGUAACCCGUUAAGUGCGCCACCUGGGGAGUACGGCCGCAAGGUUGAAACUCAAAGGAAUUGACGGGGGCCAGCACAAGCGGUGGAACAUGUGGUUUAAUUCGAUGCUACGCGAAGAACCUUACCCAGGCUUGACAUGCUUGAAGUAGGAACCUGAAAGGGAACCCACUCGUAUCCAGUCGAGAACUUGCACAGGUGCUGCAUGGCUGUCGUCAGCUCGUGCCGUGAGGUGUUGGCUUAAGUGCCAUAACGAGCGCAACCAUCGCUCAAUGUUGCGACCGGGCCCGCAAGGGUGCCGAGCACUCGUUGGGGACUGCCGGCGACGAGCCGGAGGAAGGUGGUGAUGACGUCAAGUCCGUACGGCCCUUAUGCCUGGGGCUACACACGUGUUACAAUGGGGUCGACAAUGCGCUGCGAGCCCGCGAGGGUAUGCUAAUCGCACAAACGACUCCUUAAUUCAGAUCGCAGGCUGCAACUCGCCUGCGUGAAGCCGGAAUCGCUAGUAACGGCGGAUCAGCUACGCCGCCGUGAAUACGUUCCCUGGCCUUGUACACACCGCCCGUCAAGCGAUGGGAGCCGGAGGCACCCGAAAUCGGUGUACCAACCCGCAAGGGAGGCAGCCGCCUAAGGUGAAUCUGGUGACUGGCGCUAAGUCGUAACAAGGUA